Molecule: ribosomal RNA, 254 nt
Filed under: uncultured bacterium
Lineage: Bacteria
Description: partial 16S ribosomal RNA
Rfam family: Bacterial small subunit ribosomal RNA
Source: RNAcentral
CACGUAGGGUGCGAGCGUUGUCCGGAAUUAUUGGGCGUAAAGAGCUCGUAGGCGGUGUGUCGCGUCGGCCGUGAAAACUUGCAGCUCAACUGUGGGCGUGCGGUCGAUACGGGCAUCACUGGAGUUCGGCAGGGGAGACUGGAAUUCCUGGUGUAGCGGUGAAAUGCGCAGAUAUCAGGAGGAACACCGGUGGCGAAGGCGGGUCUCUGGGCCGGUACUGACGCUGAGGAGCGAAAGCGUGGGGAGCAAACAGG